This 837-nucleotide ribosomal RNA is filed under the name Gamszarea humicola. Its description in RNAcentral is "partial large subunit ribosomal RNA". It matches the Rfam family "Eukaryotic large subunit ribosomal RNA", at positions 68 to 936 of the family's 3401-position model. Lineage: Eukaryota; Fungi; Ascomycota; Sordariomycetes; Hypocreales; Cordycipitaceae. The record is from RNAcentral.
ACAGGGAUUGCCCCAGUAACGGCGAGUGAAGCGGCAACAGCUCAAAUUUGAAAUCUGGCCCCCAGGGCCCGAGUUGUAAUUUGUAGAGGAUGCUUUUGGCGAGGCGCCUUCCGAGUUCCCUGGAACGGGACGCCACAGAGGGUGAGAGCCCCGUCUGGUCGGAUGCCAAGCCUAUGUAAAGCUCCUUCGACGAGUCGAGUAGUUUGGGAAUGCUGCUCAAAAUGGGAGGUAUAUGUCUUCUAAAGCUAAAUACCGGCCAGAGACCGAUAGCGCACAAGUAGAGUGAUCGAAAGAUGAAAAGCACUUUGAAAAGAGGGUUAAAAAGUACGUGAAAUUGUUGAAAGGGAAGCGCCUAUGACCAGACUUGGGCCCGGUGAAUCAUCCAGCGUUCUCGCUGGUGCACUUUGCCGGGCACAGGCCAGCAUCAGUUUGGCGCGGGGGAUAAAGGCUUCGGGAACGUGGCUCCCUCGGGAGUGUUAUAGCCCGUUGCGUAAUACCCUGCGCCGGACUGAGGUACGCGCAUUGCAAGGAUGCUGGCGUAAUGGUCAUCAGCGACCCGUCUUGAAACACGGACCAAGGAGUCGUCUUCGUAUGCGAGUGUUCGGGUGUAAAACCCCUACGCGUAAUGAAAGUGAACGCAGGUGAGAGCUUCGGCGCAUCAUCGACCGAUCCUGAUGUUCUCGGAUGGAUUUGAGUAAGAGCAUACGGGGCCGGACCCGAAAGAAGGUGAACUAUGCCUGUAUAGGGUGAAGCCAGAGGAAACUCUGGUGGAGGCUCGCAGCGGUUCUGACGUGCGAAUCGAUCGUCAAAUAUGGGCAUGGGGGCGAAAGACUAAUC